GAUGAACGCUGGCGGCGUGCCUAAUACAUGCAAGUCGAGCGAACAGACGAGGAGCUUGCUCCUCUGACGUUAGCGGCGGACGGGUGAGUAACACGUGGAUAACCUACCUAUAAGACUGGGAUAACUUCGGGAAACCGGAGCUAAUACCGGAUAAUAUAUUGAACCGCAUGGUUCAAUAGUGAAAGACGGUUUUGCUGUCACUUAUAGAUGGAUCCGCGCCGCAUUAGCUAGUUGGUAAGGUAACGGCUUACCAAGGCGACGAUGCGUAGCCGACCUGAGAGGGGGAUCGGCCACACUGGAACUGAGACACGGUCCAGACUCCUACGGGAGGCAGCAGUAGGGAAUCUUCCGCAAUGGGCGAAAGCCUGACGGAGCAACGCCGCGUGAGUGAUGAAGGUCUUCGGAUCGUAAAACUCUGUUAUUAGGGAAGAACAAAUGUGUAAGUAACUAUGCACGUCUUGACGGUACCUAAUCAGAAAGCCACGGCUAACUACGU
Molecule: ribosomal RNA, 496 nt
Filed under: uncultured bacterium
Lineage: Bacteria
Description: partial 16S ribosomal RNA
Rfam family: Bacterial small subunit ribosomal RNA
Source: RNAcentral